GACGAACGCUGGCGGCGUGCCUAAUACAUGCAAGUAGAACGCUGAAGGAGGAGCUUGCUUCUCUGGAUGAGUUGCGAACGGGUGAGUAACGCGUAGGUAACCUGCCUGGUAGCGGGGGAUAACUAUUGGAAACGAUAGCUAAUACCGCAUAAGAGUAGAUGUUGCAUGACAUUUGCUUAAAAGGUGCAAUUGCAUCACUACCAGAUGGAUCUGCGUUGUAUUAGCUAGUUGGUGGGGUAACGGCUUACCAAGGCGACGAUACAUAGCCGACCUGAGAGGGUGAUCGGCCACACUGGGACUGAGACACGGCCCAGACUCCUACGGGAGGCAGCAGUAGGGAAUCUUCGGCAAUGGACGGAAGUCUGACCGAGCAACGCCGCGUGAGUGAAGAAGGUUUUCGGAUCGUAAAGCUCUGUUGUAAGAGAAGAACGAGUGUGAGAGUGGAAAGUUCACACUGUGACGGUAUCUUACCAGAAAGAGACGGCUAACUACGUG
Molecule: ribosomal RNA, 495 nt
Filed under: uncultured bacterium
Lineage: Bacteria
Description: partial 16S ribosomal RNA
Rfam family: Bacterial small subunit ribosomal RNA
Source: RNAcentral